This 421-nucleotide unclassified non-coding RNA is filed under the name soil metagenome. Its description in RNAcentral is "partial contains 5.8S ribosomal RNA, internal transcribed spacer 2, and large subunit ribosomal RNA". The stretch from base 1 to 120 matches the Rfam family "5.8S ribosomal RNA", at positions 35 to 154 of the family's 154-position model. The record is from RNAcentral.
GAUGAAGAACGUAACGAAAUGCGAUACGUAAUGUGAAUUGCAGAAUUCAGUGAAUCAUCGAAUCUUUGAACGCAUAUUGCGCUCUUUGGUAUUCCGAAGAGCAUGCUUGUUUGAGUAUCAGUAAACACCUCAACCUCUUCUUGAUUUUUCAAAAGGAGGGUGGACUUGAGCUAUCCCAACAACCUUUACCGGUCGGCGGGCGGCUUGAAAUGCAGGUGCAGCUGGACUUUUAUCUGAGCUAAAAGCAUAUCUAUUUAGUCCUCGUCAAACAGGAUUAUUACUUUUGCUGCAGCUAACAUAAAGGAUAAUUGUCCUCUUUGCUGACUGAUGCAGGAUUUUACGACACUUUAUGUGUUGUUCAACUCGAUCUCAAAUCAAGUAAGACUACCCGCUGAACUUAAGCAUAUCAAUAAGCGGAGGA